RNAcentral lists this ribosomal RNA (113 nucleotides) under Zingiber officinale. Lineage: Eukaryota; Viridiplantae; Streptophyta; Magnoliopsida; Zingiberales; Zingiberaceae. The record is from RNAcentral.
GCGAUCGUACCAACACUAAUGCACCAGAUCCCAUCAAAACUCCGAAGUUAAGCGUGCAUUGCGAGAGCAGUACUAGGAUAGGUGACCCCCUGGGAAGUCCUCGUGUUGCACCU